GUGUCAGCAGCCGCGGUAACACGUAGGGGGCGAGCGUUGUCCGGAUUUAUUGGGCGUAAAGAGCUCGUAGGCGGCUCAGUAAGUCGGGUGUGAAAUUUCAGGGCUCAACCCUGAAACGCCACCCGAUACUGCUGUGGCUAGAGUCCGGUAGGGGAGCGUGGAAUUCCUGGUGUAGCGGUGAAAUGCGCAGAUAUCAGGAGGAACACCAGCGGCGAAGGCGGCGCUCUGGGCCGGAACUGACGCUGAGGAGCGAAAGCAUGGGUAGCGAACAGGAUUAGAAACCCCCGUAGUCC
RNAcentral lists this ribosomal RNA (293 nucleotides) under uncultured bacterium. Its description in RNAcentral is "partial 16S ribosomal RNA". It matches the Rfam family "Bacterial small subunit ribosomal RNA", at positions 505 to 796 of the family's 1533-position model. The record is from RNAcentral.